Molecule: transfer RNA, 80 nt
Filed under: Ipomoea nil (Japanese morning glory)
Lineage: Eukaryota; Viridiplantae; Streptophyta; Magnoliopsida; Solanales; Convolvulaceae
Rfam family: tRNA
About the family: Transfer RNA (tRNA) molecules are approximately 80 nucleotides in length. Their secondary structure includes four short double-helical elements and three loops (D, anti-codon, and T loops).
Source: Rfam by way of RNAcentral
GUUGACAUGGCCGAGUUGGUCUAAGGCGCCAGAUUAAGAUUCUGGUCCGAAAGGGCGUGGGUUCAAAUCCACUCUCAACA